UUGUACUCUUCAAAUGUGACGCAGUUAGAUUAUCUCUCAGUAGCAAGCCACCGCCGGCUGUGGUUCGAGCGGGAACAGACUCAUCAACAUACAACUGUUCUCUGAAACUGCGUGUUGUUUGUCCAAUGGAUUGCAGCCACAGUGAGGGAGAAUAACCCCACUGGUUGCCAUGGUGCCCAGCACAAAUCCAUCUCAGUUUGUGUGCCUGUGCAGACUGAAGGGAAUUAAAAACACAAGCACUCUGAUGCAGGGGUGAGGUGCAAGCCCCGUGCUUACCAAAGUUCCGCCUUUUGUCUGUCCUGAAGGAGAAGCGUGUGAUGGCAUCCAACACGAUCAUCAAAAAGGAGCACCAGCCCAAAGUCAUCGUCAGCAAGCAGGGUCCCAACCCCCACAAUGAGGGACCGGCAGCUUGAGGAAUACCGCAGGCACACGGAGCAGAAACAGAAAUGGUCUGAAGUCAGCCAUCAUUCAGCGACUCGCCAACCCCUCCUCCACCCCAUUCUCCUCCAGUCUGAGGAUAUUCAUCACCUCAUCCGGAUCCCGACCUCAACUGAUCAUGGAUCAUGUCAACGGAUCGAGGAUUAUAGCAGCACCUGAUCAUGGUGGCAGCUGAUCGCAGACUAAAAAUCUACAAGAUUGCCUGACGAUAUACUUAUUUCUCGUGGCAUCCAUUGCACUUCUGUCCAUCCUGGAAGAGGGAUCCCUCGCAUGCAGCUCUUCCUGAGGUUUCUACAUUUUUCCCUGUCAAGGUUUUUUUUUGUAGUUUUUCCUUACCCUUGUGAGGGUUGAUGGCAGAGGAUGUCACACUCAGCGAGUCCAGAAGGACAACGAGCACGAGAUGUGCCUUGCAAACAAACGUCUGACCGAUAAACCACCACCAGUGUCUAGACCCCGGGGGUUAUUCCUGUUCGAUGCUCUGCUCCAUCCCCUUCUAAUCCUGAUGACAUUUCACAGGGGUCUAAAAUGCCAAAGACUA
Molecule: long non-coding RNA, 976 nt
Organism: Limanda limanda (common dab)
Lineage: Eukaryota; Metazoa; Chordata; Actinopteri; Pleuronectiformes; Pleuronectidae
Exons: 5
Source: RefSeq, a predicted model, not a curated record